RNAcentral lists this microRNA precursor (108 nucleotides) under Pelobates cultripes (western spadefoot toad). The record is from RNAcentral. Lineage: Eukaryota; Metazoa; Chordata; Amphibia; Anura; Pelobatidae.
GUCUGUGAUUGUGUAUCUCUGUAGUUAAGUGUGUGUGUGUGUGUGUGUGUGUAUAUAUAUAUAUAUAUAUACACACACACACACACACUUAAUACAGAGAUACACAUC